GGCGACCACCCUUUCUGUUGGGGCCUCCACGGAUCAGGCCCGUCCCCUUAGCUUGGCUUUCCAGAAGCAGCCAGUUUGAUUUUAUAUUCUUAAGGAAGCACAAGGAAGAAGCAGAGAGAAGGCAUUGUUUACUAGAGAGCUGUGACCAGGUUCCCACUCACCCUUGCCUGCACCUGAAGCAUGACUGGAUCCUUACCAGAAACCCUGCCUUUCCUCUCCAGUAUAAAAGAAGACAGUAUUAACUU
Molecule: long non-coding RNA, 245 nt
Organism: Choloepus didactylus (southern two-toed sloth)
Lineage: Eukaryota; Metazoa; Chordata; Mammalia; Pilosa; Megalonychidae
Exons: 3
Source: RefSeq, a predicted model, not a curated record